RNAcentral lists this ribosomal RNA (1491 nucleotides) under Triticum aestivum (bread wheat). RNAcentral describes it as "partial small subunit ribosomal RNA". The record is from RNAcentral. Lineage: Eukaryota; Viridiplantae; Streptophyta; Magnoliopsida; Poales; Poaceae.
AUGGCGACGCAGCACAAGACGGCGUCGACGCACAGGUCCGCGAUCGUCCGCGGGGUGCACCAGCUCGACAUCGUCGGCUACAGCACGCGCCGCAUGUUCGGCGCCGACAACACCAUCAGGUCCCGGAGUUUCGACGCCGGCGGCUUCGUCUGGGCCCUCGUAUGCCGCUUCGUCGCAAAACCAGAGCAAGCGCGGGGCCUCACCCUAGCGUCAAUCUCCAUAGAGCUCUCGAGGAACCAGACCGACGAGGACGUCGUCGCCAUGGCCAGCGUCCGGAUCGACGACCCCACAGGCUGUGGCCGCUACCCCGGCGCAGAGUGGCACAGCGCCGAGCCCCACAUCUUUCCGGCCAGGUCCAGGAAGGCCGUCGCCUGGGAGCUCUCCGUCCCCGACAUGUUCCUGGAACACCAGGAACGCUACGUCAUGGACGACUGCCUUACCAUCCACUGCACCGUGGACGUUAUCCGGGAGGAGUCUGUAGAUGGGACCACCAGGAACUACUCGGUCGUUGUGCCUCCGCCGCCGAGCCUAUCCCAGGACAUCCAUAGGCUCCGGCAGGAGAUGUGGUGGCCGGACGUGACGUUCGUGGUCGACCAGACCAAGAUCCAAGCGCACAAGCUCGUGCUAGCCAUGCGGUCGCCGGUCUUCGCCGCACAGUUCCACGGGGAGAUGAAGGAGAAGACCAUGCGCAGCCUACGGAUCGACGACAUGAGCGCAUCGACAUUCAACGCCAUGCUCCACUUCAUUUACACCGACGAGCUGGCCCAAACCAACAAAGGAACAUGCCACUUGGCAAUGGUGCGCGACCUCCUCGUGGCCGCAGACCUAUAUGACCUGGAGAGGCUUAGGCUCAUGUGUGAGAACAUACUGUCCAAGAGCAUCACGGUUGGCAACGUCAUGUCGACGCUGAUGCUGGUGCACAACAGGCACAGCUGCCGACAACUCGAGGCCUCGUGUGUUGAGUUCAUAGCGUCCGACCCUGACAUCUACAACGCCGUGCAAGCCACCAAUGAGUACAAGGAGCUCGAGAAAGAAUGCCCCUCUUUUAUAUACGAGAUCACUAAGAAAUUAGCCACGCGUGCGGUGGCUCGCAACAAAUCUCCAUCUACUUCUUCCACCGGUUGUGGCACUGAUAGCAGCAGAGAGAGCGUGUCGAGGUAUAACCCAUCAGCGGUGAUGAUCGGCACACACGAGUUUAGGAUCGAAAGCUUGAAAGCCAUCAGGAAGACGCACAGUGGUGGUCAAUACAUCCAAUCUGGCAGUUUUCAAGUGGGGGGAUACGAGUGGGCCAUAAGUGUGUACCCAUCCGGGUUUGAAGGGGACGAGACCGAGUACAUUGGCCUCUUCCUUAGGCGGUUGAGUUAUAACAAUGACGACGAGGAUGCCGAUGAUGACAACGACGAUGGCGGCGGCAACAAUGAUGCUCAUGCUGUGGAUGCAAUUCCAUCCUUGUCGUCGUGGAUAAAUUCUCACGGUAUGCCCAUUUCAUAG